UGCGUAGGCGGAUUAAUAAGUCAGUGGUGAAAACCUGCAGCUUAACUGUAGAACUGCCAUUGAUACUGUUAGUCUUGAGUACGGUCAAGGUAGGCGGAAUGUGUAAUGUAGCGGUGAAAUGCUUAGAUAUUACCCAGAACACCGAUUGCGAAGGCAGCUUACUGGACCAUUACUGACGCUGAGGCACGAAAGCGUGGGGAGCGAACAGGAUUAGAUACCCUGGUAGUCC
RNAcentral lists this ribosomal RNA (229 nucleotides) under uncultured bacterium. Its description in RNAcentral is "partial 16S ribosomal RNA". It matches the Rfam family "Bacterial small subunit ribosomal RNA", at positions 568 to 796 of the family's 1533-position model. The record is from RNAcentral.